Non-coding RNA from Triticum aestivum (bread wheat), 100 nucleotides. NCBI's taxonomy places the organism in Eukaryota, Viridiplantae, Streptophyta, Magnoliopsida, Poales, Poaceae. The record is from Rfam.
GUAGUACUCCCUCCGUCCCAAAUUACUUGUUGCUCAAAUAAUUUGGGACAUAGAUACAUCCAUUUUAGCAACAAGUAAUUUGGGACGGAGGGAGUACAUC